ACUUUGAUAAUUAGCUUUUCAAAAUAACUCGCUCUUCAACGAAAAUGUAGGAGUACAGCAGCGACUGAAAAGUCUUGCAAAUAUGUAAGAGUAAAAGGCUUCUUUUGAACUGACUGUUAUUCAGUUAUUUUAUUCUAUACUUUAUUAGUUUGAAGUAUGUUAGGGUUAAGUGAAAGCGUUGACGCAGAGGGCGUACAAAUCGUGAACUAACAAGAAUUCCAAAAGUUUAGAAAACUUGAACUCCUUAUUGAAACUUGCGGUCGUACGCGUUUACUUGACGUUUUUUUUUAAUAAGCAAUUAUUUCAAUGAUCGAUUAGUUUUAUUCAAGUUUCAUUAGUGGUGGCACGUAGGCACCAGCAGCAACGGUAGCAAUGAAUAAAUAAAGACCAAUCUUUUAUUAAUGGUGAGCUAAUGGUGACGCAAUUAAUCAAUACAAUUUAAAUGAGAGUGCAUUUCAACAAUUUGAUUUGAUUUUUCAUAGGAAAACCCUGUAUAUUUCAGUUGCUAGGCAGUUAUAGUGAAGGUAACCAGAUUUAGUAGGUGCAAUGGUGCGAUCAAGGAUGCUAUGUAACAUAGCAUCCUGGGGUGUAAUCAAUUUCUGAAUAAUAUAACGUCAUUAAUUAUGUGUAUUGCAAAGAGAAAAAGAAAGGAGAAGAGGAAAGGUUAGAAAACUGCCUCAAACGGUUCAUUGACCUUGGUAUUUUGGGAGUGGCCGCGGAUUGAGGAGGAGGGGUGUAGGUAAACGGAAUGACUUUCUGCAAAAAUGGAACGAUUGAAGAAAACAAGCAAUGGCAGCUCGCGCAGAAGCAGAAAGGGAGGGUAUUCAGGUUCCGCUAACGCUAGAAGACUACUGUAUUAAAACGCAAGUGAAGCCAAAUAACGACAACCAAGUCGAGAUGACCGACUUUUACGACGACGAUUACGACGAAGACUACGACGACCCCUCAGACGGUUCGGAUUGUGCAGAGGACGACGAAAACGAUAGCGGUAACGGGGAAUCGUGAUCCCAAUAGGAGAUUAUGCACAGAUCUAACCUGCUAAAUUGUAUUCUUAUCUAAUUGUAGGCGUUUUGAUAAGUACCCCUUAUUUUCUCAUCGGUUUGUUGUAGCUUCGUUACGAAUAGAUUUCGGUGUGGUAGGAGGUUGCAGCUGCCAACUUGACAAUUAGAAA
Photinus pyralis (common eastern firefly) is the source of this 1171-nucleotide long non-coding RNA. RefSeq lists it as uncharacterized. The record is from RefSeq and is a predicted model, not a curated record. The transcript has 2 exons. Lineage: Eukaryota; Metazoa; Arthropoda; Insecta; Coleoptera; Lampyridae.